RNAcentral lists this unclassified non-coding RNA (634 nucleotides) under Hevea brasiliensis (rubber tree). The record is from RNAcentral. Lineage: Eukaryota; Viridiplantae; Streptophyta; Magnoliopsida; Malpighiales; Euphorbiaceae.
AGGAUUAGUUAUUAGUCUAUAAAUGCCUAUGUAAUUUAAGUAUUUUCCUAAAACUUAUUAUUAUUGAUAUUGACAAUAACAGAAAAUUUGGGAGUUUUAUUUCUUUUCCCUUUUUGAGUGGUAUUUGUUUUACAUCAAUUGGCAUUAGAGCUUUUUUGGAUCCGUUUUGUUUGUGAAAAUUAGCCAGAGAAUGCAAUCAGAAUUUUUUUUUUUUUUGGCUUUUCUUCAUGGAUUUUUUUCUUCCUUCACAUCCCUAAAAACAUCUGAACGUAUAAAAUCAGUCAACAAAGAAUUUUAUGAUGAAGAACAAGAGGAGCAGUUUGAAGAAUCUGAAGUUUUAAUUGUUGAGACUUCACAUCUUGAAAUUCAAGAUGAUAAGACUGAGUUAAAAAAUUUUGAGGAACCUAUUCUAGAGAAAGAAGCUGAUGAGAAUGAGCCAGAAGAUUUUGGGGAACUUAUCCCAGGAAAAGAAGAAAAGCAGUCCAUGGAUAAGACAACAGAAACUGAAAUUUUAUCAAAUUCUCUUGUUCAUGGUGAUUUCAACUAUAGUUGUGACUAAAAAUGUUCCUUGAGAUAUAAGGAAAGGAAAUAAUGAAGCCUUUCAUUUCACUCUUAUUGCUACCAUCCAAGAAGA